CCAGAGAUGGAUUGGUGCCUUCGGGAACUCUGACACAGGUGCUGCAUGGCUGUCGUCAGCUCGUGUCGUGAGAUGGUUGGGUUAACGUCCCGUAACGAGCGCACCUUGUCCUUAGUUACCAGCACGUUAUGGUGGGCACUCUAAGGAGACUGCCGGUGACAAACCGGAGGAAGGUGGGGAUGACGUCAAGUCAUCAUGGCCCUUACGGCCUGGGCUACACACGUGCUACAAUGGUCGGUACAAAGGGUUGCCAAGCCGCGAGGUGGAGCUAAUCCCAUAAAACCGAUCGUAGUCCGGAUCGCAGUCUGCAACUCGACUGCGUGAAGUCGGAAUCGCUAGUAAUCGUGAAUCAGAAUGUCACGGUGAAUACGUUCCCGGGCCUU
RNAcentral lists this ribosomal RNA (383 nucleotides) under uncultured Pseudomonas sp. RNAcentral's name for it is "bacterial SSU rRNA". It matches the Rfam family "Bacterial small subunit ribosomal RNA", at positions 1000 to 1382 of the family's 1533-position model. Lineage: Bacteria; Pseudomonadati; Pseudomonadota; Gammaproteobacteria; Pseudomonadales; Pseudomonadaceae. The record is from RNAcentral.